Oncorhynchus tshawytscha (Chinook salmon) is the source of this 847-nucleotide long non-coding RNA. The record is from Ensembl. NCBI's taxonomy places the organism in Eukaryota, Metazoa, Chordata, Actinopteri, Salmoniformes, Salmonidae.
CCUUUUGUCAGACUCUCAGUCUCUGUCUUCCUCCUCAGACACCUCUCCUAAUUUAUUCAGGGAACCCACUAACCCCAGGUCUGUCUCUACCAUUAGAUACGCUCACACACACACACACACACAUACACGCGCGCAUGCAGGCACGCACGCACACACACACACACACACAUUCCUUACUCCACUAUUAGACCACAGAUCUGGGACAGAGAGAGCAGAGUGUAGCCUGUUUACCAUAGGAGUUUACAAACAGAUUUGGGACCAGGCUGAGCAGAACAAUAUAGGACUGGGGAUGGCAGACUACACUGGAGAAGGCAGACUACACUGGAGAUGGUAGACUAGACUGGAGAUGGUAGACUAGACUGGAGAAGAUAGACUACACUGGAGAUGGUAGACUAGACUGGAGAUGGCAGACUAGACUGGAGAUGGCAGACUAGACUGGAGAUGGUAGACUAGACUGGAGAUGGCAGACUACACUGGAGAUGGUAGACUGGAGAUGGUAGACUAGACUGGAGAUGGUAGACUAGACUGGAGAUGGUAGACUAGACUGGAGAUGGUAGACUAGACUGGAGAUGGUAGACUAGACUGGAGAUGGUAGACUAGACUGGAGAUGGUUGACUAGACUGGAGAUGGCAGACUAGACUGGAGAUGGCAGACUAGACUGGAGAUGGUAGACUGGAGAUGGUAGACUAGACUGGAGAAGGCAGACUACACUGGAGAUGGUAGACUAGACUGGAGAUGGUAGACUAGACUGGAGAUGGUAGACUAGACUGGAGAUGGUAGACUAGACUGGAGAUGGUUGACUAGACUGGAGAUGGCAGACUAGACUGGAGAUGGCAGACUAGACUGG